GAUGAACGCUGGCGGCGUGCCUAAUACAUGCAAGUCGAGCGAACAGACGAGGAGCUUGCUUCUCUGAUGUUAGCGGCGGACGGGUGAGUAACACGUGGAUAACCUACCUAUAAGACUGGGAUAACUUCGGGAAACCGGAGCUAAUACCGGAUAAUAUAUUGAACCGCAUGGUUCAAUAGUGAAAGACGGUCUUGCUGUCACUUAUAGAUGGAUCCGCGCUGCAUUAGCUAGUUGGUAAGGUAACGGCUUACCAAGGCAACGAUGCAUAGCCGACCUGAGAGGGUGAUCGGCCACACUGGAACUGAGACACGGUCCAGACUCCUACGGGAGGCAGCAGUAGGGAAUCUUCCGCGAUGGGCGAAAGCCUGACGGAGCAACGCCGCGUGAGUGAUGAAGGUCUUCGGAUCGUAAAACUCUGUUAUUAGGGAAGAACAUAUGUGUAAGUAACUAUGCACAUCUUGACGGUACCUAAUCAGAAAGCCACGGCUAACUACGUG
RNAcentral lists this ribosomal RNA (497 nucleotides) under uncultured bacterium. RNAcentral's name for it is "partial 16S ribosomal RNA". It matches the Rfam family "Bacterial small subunit ribosomal RNA", at positions 28 to 507 of the family's 1533-position model. The record is from RNAcentral.